UAGUAUUGUUGGUAGUAGUGACCAAGUAUCAAUCGAUGAACCAACGAAUUCCGAGAUCUUAAGAGUUAACAAGACACAUAAUAGUUUAAAUAUAUUUUAUUGUUAAAGUAAAUUUAUAUUUCUUUUUACUGACUACGGUCAUUAUGCAAGGCUAAAAACAGAAUAGGCUUAAUAACUAUUGAGCAAAUCUGAAUUUUGCAUUAAUCGGUUCAGAAGUGUUUUUUAUUACAUGCAGUAUCGAAAUUCUAUAUAAAUAUGAUAACGGAUAUCACGACGUUUAAUCGAACAUUUACAAAGUACAAUGAUGCUUCCUCAAGGACGAUUAGAGAGAUACUUAGUAUUAUGUAUUUUUUUAAAAAAAAAAGAUAAUAUAAUCAAAGAGCUCGUCUCAAUUGACAGGCAUUCUGUUUACUGGUUAGAUGUUCAGCACUGUAAUAACAAUCUUUCUAAUUUUUUUCUUCUCAAGAUAGCUACAGUUUUUAUUUUAUAAUACUAAUUGAAAACCGAAAAUAAUAAAAAUCUUUGCUGGUGGAAAUCUUCUGGCACUGUAAGGACUAAGACAACUAACUCUCUAAUUGCUGGCAUAAAUAUGUAGAAUUUUGAAAG
Schizosaccharomyces pombe (fission yeast) is the source of this 606-nucleotide non-coding RNA. The record is from the annotation of a GenBank genome assembly. Lineage: Eukaryota; Fungi; Ascomycota; Schizosaccharomycetes; Schizosaccharomycetales; Schizosaccharomycetaceae.